Molecule: small RNA, 574 nt
Filed under: Pongo abelii (Sumatran orangutan)
Lineage: Eukaryota; Metazoa; Chordata; Mammalia; Primates; Hominidae
Description: processed transcript
Source: RNAcentral
AUAGAAAAAAAGCAUUAGAAGAUGUAGUACAACGAUCUGGGCAUGGGACAGAAUUUAAUAAACAGAAGCAUCUUGAAGCUGCUGAUAAGGGACAUUCACCAGCACAAAAGCCUAAAACUAGCAGUGGAACAAAACCAUCAGUUAAACCUACAAGCGCUACAAAGAGUGAUUCAAAUCUAGGAGGACAUUCUAUUCGUUGUAAAUCAAAGAAUCUUGAAGAUGACACUUUGUCAGAAUGUAAACAGGUGUCUGAUAAAGCUGUUUCUCUCCAGCGAAAGCUUCGGAAAGAACAGUCAUUGCAUUAUGGUUCGGUUCUUCUUAUAUCUGAAUUACCAGAGGAUGGUUGUACUGAAGAAGAUGUGAGAAAAUUAUUUCAACCAUUUGGGAAAGUGAAUGAUGUCCUGAUUGUUCCAUAUAGAAAAGAGGCUUACCUAGAAAUGGAAUUUAAAGAGGCAAUUACUGCAAUUAUGAAGUACAUUGAAACAACACCUCUUAUGAUAAAAGGAAAAAGUGUGAAAAUAUGUGUUCCAGGAAAGAAAAAAGCACAGAAAUCUGCAUGUAGGUGGUCCAGUGC